GAAGCGGGUCGGUGUCGGGGCUGUUUGACAUGCCUGAGCUUGUAGCCCAGCACCCCGCGCACGCCAACGCCGGUUCGUCCGCGGUCUGUUUUUCCGUGCGAACCCCGUUGUCCGGCGCGCGCGGCUUUGCACAAUCCGCCGCCGAGGAGGGCUCACAUGGAGCUGAAAGGCGAAUACCGGAUUCCGGCGCCGCGGGAAGCGGUCUGGGCGAUGCUGAACGACCCCGCUGUCCUGCGCGACUGCAUUCCCGGCUGCGAGACGCUGGAAGGAAGCCCCGGCGAGGGCUUUUCGGCCCGCGUGACCACCAAGAUCGGGCCGGUGAAAGCCACCUUCAACGGCGCCGUGACCCUGUCAAAUGUCAACGCUCCCGAGAGCUACACGAUUUCCGGGGAAGGGAAGGGGGGCGUCGCCGGUUUUGCGAAAGGCGGAGCGGA
RNAcentral lists this unclassified non-coding RNA (434 nucleotides) under plant metagenome. Its description in RNAcentral is "partial contains 5.8S ribosomal RNA, internal transcribed spacer 2, and large subunit ribosomal RNA". The record is from RNAcentral.